Molecule: ribosomal RNA, 117 nt
Filed under: Pogona vitticeps (central bearded dragon)
Lineage: Eukaryota; Metazoa; Chordata; Lepidosauria; Squamata; Agamidae
Source: RNAcentral
CUUUUCUAUACUAUACCGAAGAAGUCAAGUCUUGUCUGACUUUGGAAGCUAAGCAAGGUUGGGCCUGAUUAGUACUUGAAUGGGGGACCAGGGAUUGCCAUGUAGGGCUAGGAAAGA